This 705-nucleotide ribosomal RNA is filed under the name uncultured delta proteobacterium. RNAcentral describes it as "bacterial SSU rRNA". It matches the Rfam family "Bacterial small subunit ribosomal RNA", at positions 771 to 1473 of the family's 1533-position model. Lineage: Bacteria; Deltaproteobacteria. The record is from RNAcentral.
AACCGGAUUAGAUACCCUGGUAGUCCACGCUGUAAACGAUGGGAACUAGGUUUGGUGGGUCUUGACCCCCGCCGAACCGGCGCUAACGCAAUAAGUUCCCCGCCUGGGAAGUACGGUCGCAAGACUAAAACUCAAAGGAAUUGACGGGGGCCCGCACAAGCGGUGGAUCAUGUGGUUUAAUUCGAAGCAACGCGAAGAACCUUACCUGGAUUUGACAUCCUCGGACAACCCUAGAGAUAGGGCUUUCGUAGCAAUACGACCGAGAGACAGGUGCUGCAUGGCUGUCGUCAGCUCGUGUGGUGACAUGUUGGGUUAAGUCCCGCAACGAGCGCAGCCCUUGUCUUUAGUUGCCAGCAUUCAGUUGGGCUCUCUAAAGAGACUGCCGUGGUUAACACGGAGGAAGGUGGGGAUGACGUCGAGUCCUCAUGGCCUUUAUAUCCAGGGCGACACACGUGAUACAAUGGACGGUACAGAGGGACGCGAACCCGCGAGGGGGAGCUAAUCUCAAAAAGCCGUUCUCAGUUCGGAUUGGAGUCUGCAACUCGACUCCAUGAAGUUGGAAUCGCUAGUAAUCGCGGAUCAGCACGCCGCGGUGAAUACGUUCCCGGGCCUUGUACACACCGCCCGUCACACCAUGGGAGCUGACUCAACCAGAAGACGGUCAGGGUAACCGCAAGGAGCCCUCCGGCGAAGGUGGGGUUGGUG